Molecule: ribosomal RNA, 487 nt
Filed under: uncultured bacterium
Lineage: Bacteria
Description: bacterial SSU rRNA
Rfam family: Bacterial small subunit ribosomal RNA
Source: RNAcentral
GAUGAACGCUAGCGGCAGGCCUAAUACAUGCAAGUCGAGGGGCAUCAAGGUACACGAAAGUGUAUUGUUGGCGACCGGCGGACGGGUGAGUAAUAGGUAGGUAACCUACCUCAUACUGAGGCAUAGCUGGGAGAAAUUCCAGGUAAUUCCUCAUGAGGUUAUAUGACACAUGUGAUAUAAUCAAAGGUAUCGCAAGGUACUGGUAUGAGAUGGGCUUACUGACCAUUAGCUAGUUGGUGAGAUAAGAGCUCACCAAGGCGAAGAUGGUUAGGGGUUUUGAGAGAGAGAUCCCCCACAUUGGAACUGAGAUACGGUCCAGACUCCUACGGGAGGCAGCAGUAGGGAAUAUUGGGCAAUGGGCGGAAGCCUGACCCAGCCAUGCCGCGUGAAGGAAGACGGCCUUAUGGGUUGUAAAACUUCUUUACUAUGCGACUAACUAGAUUUACGAGAUAAUUCUAUAGAAUGUAGCAUAGCAAAAAGCACCGGA